RNAcentral lists this unclassified non-coding RNA (661 nucleotides) under Hevea brasiliensis (rubber tree). Lineage: Eukaryota; Viridiplantae; Streptophyta; Magnoliopsida; Malpighiales; Euphorbiaceae. The record is from RNAcentral.
GAUUAAUCCGAAUAGAUUUAAGCAUACAUGAGAUCGAAUAAACUUGGAAUUUAUUAUUUAUCUGGAGAUAACUCAGAUUACUACCAGUUCGGAGAAAAUGACCUGUGGCCAAGUAACAAGUUGAGAUCGGAUAAAACAUUAAUCAUGGGAGAUCGACUAAACUACAACCCUUAUUAAAAAUUGUAUAUUAACUACAUGAGUUAUGCCUUUUAAAGAUCAACUAAAAUAUGGUGUCUACGAGUGCUUAGGUCUGGAUCAAUGAAGCUCGGAGAUUGCUUCAUAUAAACAUCAUUAUGCAAAUCACCAUGCAAAAAGGCGUUGGAAACGUCAAUUUGUUGAAUGGGCCAAUCAUAACUAAAUGCAAGAUAAAGAAGGACGCGAAUCAUGGUUGGUUUGACAAUAGAUGAGAAAGUCUCUGCAAAUCAACGCCCGGACGUUGGUGAAAUCCUGUAGCCACUAGAUGGGCCUUCUAGCAGUCAAGAGAGCCAUCCUAUUUCUGCUUUAUUCCGUAGACCCAACGAUAUCCAAUUACAUUUUGGGCUUGACUUUGAGGCACUGGCUCCUAUGUUCCAGUCAUAAGAAGUGCUGAUAUUUCUUCAUUCAUAGCUUUCCUCCAAUUUGCAUCCAGGGCCGUUUUAGAAUAACAUGAUGGAAUGGGUGG